This 297-nucleotide unclassified non-coding RNA is filed under the name Melitaea cinxia (Glanville fritillary). RNAcentral describes it as "misc RNA ENSMCXG00005000654.1". Lineage: Eukaryota; Metazoa; Arthropoda; Insecta; Lepidoptera; Nymphalidae. The record is from RNAcentral.
GGGGUUAAAACGGGGGAUGGUAGGUUUACUCACUCAUCACGAAACCUCCGAAACUAUAACACCUACAAACUUGAAAUUUGGCAGAUAGGCUCCUUAUAGGGCGUAGACAUUCGCUAACAACGGGUUUUACAAAACUCGACCCCUAAGGGGGUAAAACGGGGUUUGGAAGUUUGUAUGAAAGUCCUAUGUUUUUGAAGUAAGAGACUUGAAAUUUAAAAUGUAUGCUCUAUAGAUGGUGAGAAGGUGUUCAAAUAAUGUAUCUUUAGAAAUCAACUCCCUUUUGGGGUUAAAACGGGG